UACGAAGGGGGCUAGCGUUGCUCGGAAUUACUGGGCGUAAAGGGCGCGUAGGCGGCACUGUUAGUCAGGCGUGAAAUUCCUGGGCUCAACCUAGGGACUGCGCUUGAUACGGCAGAGCUUGAGGAUGGAAGAGGGUCGCGGAAUUCCCAGUGUAGAGGUGAAAUUCGUAGAUAUCGGGAGGAACACCAGUGGCGAAGGCGGCCACCUGGACGGAUACUGACGCUGAGACGCGAAAGCGUGGGGAGCAAACAGG
This 253-nucleotide ribosomal RNA is filed under the name uncultured bacterium. Its description in RNAcentral is "partial 16S ribosomal RNA". It matches the Rfam family "Bacterial small subunit ribosomal RNA", at positions 524 to 776 of the family's 1533-position model. The record is from RNAcentral.